GGGUUUUUAGUCGGUAGGCGCUCCCUCCAGGAGUGAAUCCGACACUACCCCCCUACCCCCUUUGGGGGGUAUCUUUAGAAGAUUUCCC
Molecule: non-coding RNA, 88 nt
Organism: Agrilus planipennis (emerald ash borer)
Lineage: Eukaryota; Metazoa; Arthropoda; Insecta; Coleoptera; Buprestidae
Source: Rfam